RNAcentral lists this ribosomal RNA (465 nucleotides) under Vreelandella stevensii. Its description in RNAcentral is "partial 16S ribosomal RNA". It matches the Rfam family "Bacterial small subunit ribosomal RNA", at positions 338 to 795 of the family's 1533-position model. The record is from RNAcentral. Lineage: Bacteria; Pseudomonadati; Pseudomonadota; Gammaproteobacteria; Oceanospirillales; Halomonadaceae.
CCUACGGGCGGCAGCAGUGGGGAAUAUUGGACAAUGGGCGAAAGCCUGAUCCAGCCAUGCCGCGUGUGUGAAGAAGGCCUUCGGGUUGUAAAGCACUUUCAGUGGGGAAGAAAGCCUUGGGGCUAAUACCCUCGAGGAAGGACAUCACCCACAGAAGAAGCACCGGCUAACUCCGUGCCAGCAGCCGCGGUAAUACGGAGGGUGCGAGCGUUAAUCGGAAUUACUGGGCGUAAAGCGCGCGUAGGCGGUCUGAUAAGCCGGUUGUGAAAGCCCCGGGCUCAACCUGGGAACGGCAUCCGGAACUGUCAGGCUAGAGUGCAGGAGAGGAAGGUAGAAUUCCCGGUGUAGCGGUGAAAUGCGUAGAGAUCGGGAGGAAUACCAGUGGCGAAGGCGGCCGUCUGGACUGUAACUGACGCUGAUGUGCGAAAGCGUGGGGAGCAAACAGGAUUAGAUACCCUUGUAGUC